RNAcentral lists this ribosomal RNA (442 nucleotides) under uncultured bacterium. RNAcentral describes it as "bacterial SSU rRNA". It matches the Rfam family "Bacterial small subunit ribosomal RNA", at positions 340 to 773 of the family's 1533-position model. The record is from RNAcentral.
UACGGAAGGCAGCAGUGGGGAAGUAUUGCACAACUGGGCGCAAGCCUGAUGCAGCCGAUGCCGCGUGUAUGAAGAAGGCCUUCGGGUUGUAAAGUACUUUCAGUCGUGAGGAAGGUGUUAAGGUUAAUAACCUUAGCAAUUGACGUUAGCGACAGAAGAAGCACCGGCUAACUCCGUGCCAGCAGCCGCGGUAAUACGGAGGGUGCGAGCGUUAAUCGGAAUUACUGGGCGUAAAGGGCACGCAGGCGGUUAAUUAAGUUGGAUGUGAAAUCCCCGGGCUUAACCUGGGAAUGGCAUUCAAGACUGGUUAGCUAGAGUCUUGUAGAGGGGGUAGAAUUCCAUGUGUAGCGGUGAAAUGCGUAGAGAUGUGGAGGAAUACCGGUGGCGAAGGCGGCCCCUGGACAAAGACUGACGCUCAUGUGCGAAAGCGUGGGGAGCAAAC